This 266-nucleotide ribosomal RNA is filed under the name uncultured bacterium. Its description in RNAcentral is "partial 16S ribosomal RNA". It matches the Rfam family "Bacterial small subunit ribosomal RNA", at positions 333 to 596 of the family's 1533-position model. The record is from RNAcentral.
CUUGUCCUACGGGGGGCAGCAGUGAGGAAUAUUGGUCAAUGGCCGGAAGGCUGAACCAGCCAAGCCGCGUGAAGGACGAAGGCGCCAAGCAUUGUAAACUUCUUUUGUCAAGGGACAAAAUCAGGCUCGAGAGCCUGACCGCGGGUACUUGAAGAAAAAGCAUCGGCUAACUCCGUGCCAGCAGCCGCGGUAAUACGGAGGAUGCGAGCGUUAUCCGGAUUUAUUGGGUUUAAAGGGUGCGUAGGCGGCUUGUUAAGUCAGCGGUA